Molecule: long non-coding RNA, 3152 nt
Organism: Heterocephalus glaber (naked mole-rat)
Lineage: Eukaryota; Metazoa; Chordata; Mammalia; Rodentia; Bathyergidae
Source: Ensembl
UGUGUGUGUGUGUGUGCCCACGUGUGUGUUUGUGAGGGUGCGUGUAUCAUAUAGGGCCUUCAAAGUUAUUCUACUUUUUUCAAGAGUCUAUCAAAGGAUUUUGAGAAGUUUUCCAUGAUCUGACUCACGUCUCUGAAAGACCACUCUGAGUACUGGGUGAAGAAUUGAUUGCAGAUGAACAAAAGAGCAGGUUAAAAUGAAGACUUUUUAAACAAACAAAAGUGGAGACUUUGUAAAUCACUGAAGAUAAGAAGCUAGAAGGAGAGACAUCGCAGAUGGCCAUUUAGAGAUUCAUGAGAAUUGAAGGGUAGUUUAAGUAGUAUAUAUAUAUAAGUAAAUCUUAGAAGAAUAUUGAUUGUGUAAAACAGUAAUAAUAAAUUCCUUGAAACUUAAAGUAUAAUGACAUACAAAUUAAUAACAACAAGAACACAUUGCUCAGGAUGAUGAUUAACAGAAUUAGAGUUGCUUGAUUAGGGUAAGACGUGAUAAUACUAGUAUUUUAUAUUAAAGUUAAAUAAAUCAGAUAUAAGUAAUAAUCAAUAAGGUAUACUAAGUGAAAUGCAUUCCUAAUGAACUAUUUGAAGGAAAAAGAAAUAUUUUAAUGUAAGAAGCAAAUAUAAAUGGAGAAAGAAAAUAGAAUUCAUGGACCAAGAGGAAGUGAAUAAAAAAAAUUGAAGGUCUGUAUCUAUGUGUCUACAUUAAUAACUCUAUUAAAUAUAAAUGGCUAAAUACUCUAUUUAAAUGAGAAACAUUGCUAGAUUUGGUGAAAAAGAAUAAGCAUGUGUUUAUGAGACAAACCUUAGUCACACAAACAAAAAGAUGGUGAAAAUAAAAUAGUAAAUAAUAUGUCAUUAAUAGAGAUUGAUAGAUUGAAAUUUCAUGAUAUGAGGAACUUUGCAUUAUCAAAGAAUCUUACUAAAUGUAAGUCACAAAAUGCAUAAUGUUUUAUAUUCAUAUAAUUGACAAAGAGUUUGUAUUUCCUAUAUACAAAAGAGAAAUUCCACUCAAUAGAAAAAAAAGAAAAAGUGGGACAGGCAUUUCAUACAUACACAAUUAUCUAAAUUGCUAAGAACAUAGAUAGAUAUUUGUGAUUGCUAGUCAUCAGGAAAUUAAAACUAUAAUUUUUACAAAUGGCAUGCACAUUAGAUUGAUAAAAACUGAAAGACAAGUAGUACACUGCUCUGUAAAGUGUCAGUUUCUGCAAACAUUGUGAACAACUGCUCAUCAUUAUUUACUAAGUUUGAAUAGAUGGAUAGAUUAGUAGAUAGUUAGAUCUUUUACUCUAUGGCAAUUCCACUAUUUGAGUAUAUCACACACACACACACAGAGACACACACAGACACACACACAUUUCAGAUGUUUGUGUACCAAAAGACAUGAGUAAGAAUGUUCAUAAUAGUACUAACCAAAAGAAAGGGGGAGGAUUAAGUUCUUUAUCAAAUAUACAAUAAAACUAAGUUUUAAAAAUAUUUAUGUAUUAAAAAGUAUAGAAAAAACAUGAAAACAAUGAACUAUUGGCUAAUGCAACAACACAAAUGAAAUCAUUUAUUCCUAAUGUCUUGAGGGGAAAAAUGAGAUGAAAAAGAGUUCAUAAUGAUAAGUCUAUUAUAUAAAGAUUAAAAAGAGAGAAAAUACAUCCAUAGUAUUAGCAGUGACAGAAAUGUUUACCUUUGGGAAAGAAGUAUUUAGUGAUGGGAAAACUGAUAGGGGAUUCUGGGCUGUGAGGUGCAACACUGUAACUCCUGUCCUAGAUGACGGCUACAUGGAUUUUUUCCCCUUGAUGGUGAUUCAUAGAGCCAUGUUUGUAUGUUUUGCCUUCCUAUAUUUUAUGGUAAAUAAAUAUUUACUUUAAAAUAAUGGAGGAGAAGGAAAGAUGGGUUUUUAGGAUAACUAGUACCUAGGAAGAAUAUGCUUGAUGUUUUGUCAGGCUCUUUUCAUCAUUUUCCUUUUUUUCCUCUUUCCCAGAAAACAAAGCCUAUAAUGUCAUACAAGAGUUGGCGAUUACUGGAUGGUAAAUGGCUUUGACUCCUACAUAAUGUGCAUGUAUCCAGAGUCUUGAGACUUUGAGAACACUCUAUGGAUACGAAUCUUGUAAAUUCAAUUUUUAAUCCCCCUUUGAAACUAUGACCUCCUCCUUAACAGAUUUUUUUUGUUUUUUCUAUUAUUUUGAGAAUACUUUAUUAGUUUCUGUAAUCAAACCCAUGUAGACAAGACCUUGCAUAUUUAAUACAGUGUGUUUCCCCUGUACAAAUGGAAAAUAAAAUUAAGCUUAAUGUUUCUAGACCUAUAUGGCUGUUAGUUUCCGUACAGUUUCAACUCAGCAUGGUAAACUAGGAUAAUUAUUUUGAAAGUUGACAACACAGUUAAAGUUUCCAAAAGUUUAAAUUAUAUUUAUAUUUAUUUGUAUUUGUAUUUAUAUAGCAUAUGUUAUGCAUCAAGAGCAGCAAUAGCUUUUCUUAUAGAACUCACAGCAAUUCUCCUGCCUCUUAACAGAUAUUUUAUUCAAUAUUUGCAUUUUCUAUUUAUAUUCAAGAAAUACUGAGUUCUUGCAUUAUUUUCAUUCAUUCAACCUGUAUUUACUGAGAAACUGCUGUAUGUAAUUUGUUCUUCUGUUCUUCAUGUUGAUAUCAACAGGCUGUUGCUAUAACAAAUUGAUUAUAUGUACUUUCACUUUAAUCUAUUGUAACUUUUUUUCAUGCUAUAUCACUGAAGUCCGCAAGGUCAAGAAAAAAGUAUGAAAGUCCAGGGAUUCUCAGCAAAUAUAUUCCCUUCAAGGACACCAGGAGAUGAACAGGCUAACUGAGAGUUUCUUAAGGCAUUAUCAUUCUUUGCAGAAAUUUUCUAUGGAUAUCUCAGUGGUGAAUGAGAGUUGCUUCCAUGCCAAAGUAAUUACUAAUCAUAGUCACAGUCCUGAACUUCUUAUUCCAGGAAAACAACCUAGUGUAUCUGUAGCAGCAUCUCUCACAUAAUGUGGCCCUGCAUGUGGAGGGAGAAGGCACCAAGGCCACGGGUGGUGGUGGCUGAAGUUCACGGUACUCACAUAUCACCGCUGAGUUAACAUUGUGGUGAAAACUUGAGGGCUAAGUUGCGAUCUGUUCGUGAAGGUAAAAAAAAAAUACUUUACUAUGCAGAAUAAAAUGUUUCAUAUCUGG